AUCGCUUCUCGGCCUUUUGGCUAAGAUCAAGUGUAGUAUCUAAGUACAUGGAGCCAUUGGACAUGACUUGUGAGAUGAGCAGGAGAUUGAAUUUUCUGUUAGUGCAAUCUGUUGGUGGCUGUUGUAACUUAGAUUUAACUGGUCCUGGUUUAGAUCAGAUAAA
This is a small nuclear RNA of Rattus norvegicus (Norway rat), 163 nucleotides long. Ensembl annotates it as U2 spliceosomal RNA. The record is from Ensembl. Lineage: Eukaryota; Metazoa; Chordata; Mammalia; Rodentia; Muridae.